This 340-nucleotide long non-coding RNA is filed under the name Homo sapiens (human). Its description in RNAcentral is "non-protein coding lnc-MECP2-2:4". Lineage: Eukaryota; Metazoa; Chordata; Mammalia; Primates; Hominidae. The record is from RNAcentral.
AGUAGGUGGGGAUUAUUAUCCACAAAAGGGACUAGACAUUGUGUUCUGGGUCCCACAACUCAUCAUAAAGAGGUGGUUAUAGUUCCCAUCAGGAGCCGUGGGUAGGGGACUGUGCGUCCAGCAGCACCCGAGGCUCUUCGGCGCCAGAGGCUCUAAGGAAGAAAAGUCAGAAGACCAGGACCUCCAGGGCCUCAAGGACAAACCCCUCAAGUUUAAAAAGGUGAAGAAAGAUAAGAAAGAAGAGAAAGAGGGCAAGCAUGAGCCCGUGCAGCCAUCAGCCCACCACUCUGCUGAGCCCGCAGAGGCAGGCAAAGCAGAGACAUCAGAAGGGUCAGGCUCC